RNAcentral lists this long non-coding RNA (7492 nucleotides) under Theobroma cacao (cacao). RNAcentral's name for it is "long non-coding RNA (TCAC_LNC004459)". The record is from RNAcentral. Lineage: Eukaryota; Viridiplantae; Streptophyta; Magnoliopsida; Malvales; Malvaceae.
AAAUGGUUAAAAAGGAGGGUGGUGAGAUUAUAAAAUCUCAGUGAGUAAACAGAUACCAUCUAAACCAUCUAAAAUCGAGUAAAUGGAGACAAUUAAAAUAAGUCAUCAUACUGUAAUUUCAUUACCUUUCAACUCAUUUCAACCAAAUAAAAUCAAUUCAUAUAAAUUGAGUAACCAACAUGGCUUAUGAAUUUCUUAAAACUUUGGCUCGUCCCAAAACUCGUACUCGAGGAUACCUUGCGUCAGGCAUCCAACCGAGUCCGCCAAGGCUGUUAAAAAGUUAUAUAAGCAUAAUCAUGUUUUUAUUUAGAAAACAUAGCCGUUCCUUGACGUUGGCUGAGUUCUCUCUCACGUGAUGGUUUAGUGUGAAGUGAACCCUAAACUUUACCUCAGAAGAUACCCUACGCGCCUCUCCGAUUGAGGUAAGAAUAUGAUGGGGUUUAUCGUGCCCCUCUAAAAGGCUGGUCCACAGAAACCCCCUACUGUAGUGACUAAUUAAUAUAUAAUCCACCAAUUCAAUAAAAUUUGCAAUAGCAUGACAUGGCAAUUAUUUUAUUUUACAGCCUCUCAAGGUAAAUCAACAAUUCAUACAUAUUUAGCACAUUUGCCAAUUCAACCAUUCAUGCCAAUAUUAUCAUAAGCUAUUUCAUUGGAGCCAUAAUUUCACAAUACAUCAAAUGGUCUCCAAUUACUCUAUUUUCAAAGCCAUCAUUCAAUUUCUAGAUAAUUUUAUAAAAUCAUUUCAUUUAAUCACAUUUUUGUUUAUAAAACAUAAAGAUUUAUCAUUUAACCUCACUUUUCAUAAAAUCACAAAAUUAGAUAAAAACGACUUUAGAUAAUUAAGAUGAUAGUAAGGUUACUCACUGUACUAAGAGUUCGAUAUACUCCUAUUCUCGAUCUUCGGGCACAAUCUCUUUACCCUUGUUAGAGGGCUCACCACCUAUACAUCAUACUUGACAUGAAUUUCAAUAAAUUGUGUCAAUUUAUCAUAAACUAUUUCAGGCUCUAUAAAUCUAUAUGAAUACACGAAAUGUGAUGCAAAAUGUCUGAAUAGUCGUUUAAAUACGGUAUUCGACCUAAUUCGUACUAUUCUCAACGUAAUUUGGCUAAAACCUCCAAUUUAACUCCAAAUCUAUUUCUUUCACUUUCUACACUCCAAUUAUACUUAAAAUACCUCAAUGACUGUGAAUAUGAUUCAAUUUAUCAGUACGAACCAUAAAUCGCACAUGUCUAUACAUUAGGUAAAAAUUCAGAUUUUCAUGCCAAAAUUUCCCAUUAAAUUUCUAGCCUCACCAAUCAUUAAAUACCACCAAAAUAUCAUGAAAUAUCAUCAAUUUCAGCCUCAAUAUCCUCCCUAGAAAAUUCGGCCUCUUGUGGGUUUGUGAAGAACAAAGUGAUUCCUUGCUAGAUUUUCAUACUUUCCAUUACCAAACAACCAAAAACACUUAAUUAGCUUGAAAUCUAGCAAAAUCAAUGCUCAAAACCUCUCCUCUCAAAUUCGGCCAGCAUGGGUUCAUCAUGCAAACUUGAGUUCUAAGCAUGGAAAAUGAAAAAGAAAGCAUGGGUAGUGUAAAUCACAAGAUAAAAUCACAAAAUUUUACCUUUAUUAGCUUAAUCCCUUGAAAUCCCACACUUUUUCUUCAAUUUUCCCACCUAGGGUUUGUGUUCUUUCCUUUCCUCUUCACUUCAUGCUUUGGCCGGCCAUAUGGGUGAGACUAAGAGAGUUUUAAAUAGAUUUUACAAGGAAAUUCUAGAAUAAUCCAAGCUUGACACAUGGCAUGUUUCCAUUGGUCCAUGUGUAAUACUUAUCCAUUAAGCAAUCUCUCUCCACCACAUAAAAUGUUUCAAUUAUCCACAAUGUAAAAUGUUAAUGGCUGAAAUCCAUGGGCAUGACAAGUGUUAGGUGGUGUAAAAUUCCAAAAUUCCAACUUUGCCCCCGUAAACUCAUAAAAUUACCGUUUUGCCCCUAGGACUCCAAAAAUGUCAGAAUUUAAAUUUUUCACCUCUCAAACUCAAAUCAUACUCCAAUGAGUCAAAUGUGAUCAAAAUCUUUUCUAACAAUUUCCAUUUUAUCCUCGGGUGACAAAAUUACCAUUUUGCCCCUAGGACAUGAAAAUUCCAAAUUGACUCCAAUUCAGCCCUCGAACUCCAAAUAAUCAUUUUAAGUCAUUCUGGGAUUUUAAAAUUCUCAAUUUCAUCUUAAGAUCUCUAUUUAGACUAGUUCGAUGCUUAAUUCAACUUAAUAGUACCAUUUGGUAUAAUAUCGACUUUUGAUGAUUUUUUGGGGCUUUCCAAGCAUGCUAGCAUAUUGUCAAUCACAUGAAGGACAUGGCAAGUACUUUAUAAGGUCGGGCUUGACAGCACUACCCCCUUAAAAUAAAAUUUUAACCUCAAAAUUUCAUUUACUGAACUAAGAGAAAAUGUGGGGUAUUGUCUUCUUAUCUGAUGUUUAACUUCCCAUGUCAUCUCUUCCAUUCAAGCAUUCAUCCACAAUACUUUAACCAUUGGGAUGCUCUUAUUCAUUCCUCUACGUAUCCUCAUAUUUAUGUUUACCUCACAUUUAUGUAGCUUCAAUCUUCUUAAUCAUAUUAGUCCAUCGCGUACGGCUUAACCGCGUUAUAGAUUACAUUUCCUUGAUACCAUUUCCUUAACUAUCUCCCAAAGUCUCUUAUGUCCACGCAACUCAGCCUCUAAUGGGAUUUCUUAUCAUUACGCUACCUUUAUCACUUGUCAACAAUCAAUAAUUCCCACUACAGAAUACUCUUUCCACAUUACAACUGUAUCCAAAUCAAUUUUUCUCCUAAAGGGGUGUGCACUACAAUUCCUAUUCAAGCAUUUCAUAAGACAUAAGGAUCAAACACUCUUUAUUUAUCCAUAUAUAUAUAUUUAACAUCACAGAUAAUUCAAAUUUGAUAACCAUUAGUAACCAUAUUCUCAAAAAGAAAACUCCAGUACUUUCAUGAUCGAGUACUUAUUAAGUAGAUCUCGUCUAUUACCAUGAUAUAUUUAAAUAAAUAAACCUACUUUUGGAUGUAUCCUUAUGGACUUAAUCAAUCCUUAUAAUUCCUAGGUCAUAACCAACUUGUUAGUUAUACGUCACAUACAAACAUAUCUAACUUGUGAUUCCUCAAAUUUUACUCCAAACACUAGAUCUCAUGGCCUCAUUAGUUUAUCAAUCUGAAAAUGAAAAUAAACAUUUAUCUCCCCUCAAGUACACUUUAAAAUCAAAGUAUCAUUUAUCAAGAUAUUUCUGGUAUCAACUUCCUUCAGCCCUUUUUACCUUAAAAGAUUAAAUCCAUAAUCAUCCAUUUUGAGUCAUGGGCUUAUGCAAAUCAAGGUAAAUUUUCACACUUUCGAUUACAUGAAUUCGAUUGCACAUAUUCCAUUCUCAUAUGAGAGUUAACCACUAGUUGGCAUCAUCCCCAAACAACACGUAUUAUAUAAAUCAAAUUUUUAUAGUCAAAGUUCAUAUUGGAGUAAUUCAACCCUAUGUCAUAUCUCAUCACCAAACCUUUACUUGCACAUGAGUACUUCAAUUUUUGAAUCAUCAUUUCUUUUCUAAGUAGAUCUUUACAGUCCCCGUAGCGUAUUUCUAUUCCCUUAUACAUAAUAGUGUCAUUUAAUCAAACUGUAUCACCCUCAUUUUCUAAACAUUCGAAACACAAUUCAACCUUUGCCUACCAUUAUCAAGUUCUUUUCCUUGAUAAUUACUUAAAAAUAAAUUGAAACUUGUGGGGAAGUACAUUUCACAAUUUAUGUUUUGCGUCUACAAUUAUGUCGAGACCAGAACCUCAUCGGGUCCAUAAAACAGUAGGAUAAUCAUUGCCUCGAACUAGUAUUGCCAAGUAUACUUAUGCUUGUAUCCCAUCCUCAUACUUAUGUGACAUGUCAGUCAUGAGUGUAACUUGACUGUAUAGCCAUUUGCUCCUUAAGCUUUAAUGUUUUCUCAUUGCGAAAAGUCUUUCGAAUUUAUCACAUCAGAGUAUUCAUAAGGUGGAUACAUAUCCAUAUUUUAUAGUUCAAGGUCUAACGCAGCGAACGCUGUCUCAUCAUUAAAGUUCUACCGUUAUCUAUCAAUCAUAGAUCCUUUGCACACUUACCUAUACAUUCCUGGCUUACUUACAAGCCAUUCAUGGCCAUCCAACUUUUGACCUCUUAUAGUAAGUCAAACUAAUGUAUUCUCUUAUGCUUUUCCAUACGCUUCCUUUAAUAAAGUUCCAUUGAGAACUUAAACAAUCCAAGGCUUAUCUUCAAAGUCACUCAUAACCUUUGUCAUUCAUUGCAUGCCCAAGAUAACACUUUAGCUCACUAACCCCACUGGACAUUAUUUCAAAAUCUCCCAUGGCGUCCAUGUUCUUAAUUUGGAUCAUACCAUCUAACUUAAUAUAAUUGCAUUAAUUAUACUUAAGUCCUUAUGCUCAGCCUAUCAACAUCCAUAUCUCCCCCUCCUUUAUGUUAUUGGCUUUGUUAAAGUAUAUGUGGCUUUUUAGCCUUUCACACUACAUUCUACAUUUAUGUCAAGGCACUCUCAAUUUCAUGUCAAACCUAUUGUCAUGUAACCAUAAAUUAGAGUAAGCUCCCCUAUGAAAUAUCUCCUUCCAUAUGAUGCAUAGGGAUCACAAGAUGUAUAACUCCAAGUGUAUGCAUACAUAUUGAUAAUCUCCAUAUAUUUCAUGAUCAUGGAAACCACAAUUUUGAAAACUAUCUUUUUAUCGCAAGUUUGCGAUCGGACCAUUAAUCUCCACAUAUACGUAUACACGCAAAUUCAAAUGUCCAUAUUCCUCAUUAUGUAUACGGGUCUCUGUUUUCAAAUGUCUUUAGACUAAUUUCUCUUUAUAUCCACAUAAUCGACCUUGUGUUGUUACUAGCCCCUUUUUAUUCAACUAAGUCGAGACAAGAAUUAUAAAUUCUCAUAGCAACACUUUACAUUAACUCAUUUACCAUACCACACUUGUAAUUCGUUAUUCAUACUUCAUCACUUAACAUUGAUAUUCCUCAUCGAUAUCUCAUACCUUCAUCUUUCUUUACACUUAUAUUCAUAAUCCUCAUAGAAUCAAAAAUCCAUUAUAAGCAUCACUUAUAUCCUUUCAAAUUUGUAGCUGCAACUGAAAUUUCAAAUUUCACCUUUUCCAUAAGAAAUUUUGAAGUCACUGAUCAGGUAUCGUAGUUACUCGUACCAUUGAUGAAUUUCUACGGCAAUUCUCAGUAAUUAUAUAAGGCAACUAAUCACACCGCUAAGGUGAAUACCCCUCCUCAAUGAUUAUACCACUAAUCCACUUUUGUCCUACCAAAAAGGUUCCCAUAUACAUAUAUCCAGUCAUUAAACAACUACUUCAUUCACAUUAUAUAAAAUAAAAGUCAACUCUUAAUUCCUUUAUACAAGUAGUUACUAUUUCCUUUAUACUACAUCUAUCUAGAGUUAAAGUAGUACAACUUCAACAAAACACUAAGUAUCUUUAGGGUCAUCAUCACCCUGAUCCUCUUUCGGAUUCUCUUGGAGCUUUCUUUUUUUUUUUUUGUUCUUCAAUCCGAGCCUGUUGGAUUUUCCUACAUUCCUCAAUUUCUUUCAAGAUGAAAUUUCUUAUGCCUUCAUUAACGUCGUUACUAUCAACACUUUCAUCAGUCUCACUAGUACUACUGUUAUAUCUGAACCUUCGCUCCCAAAUCCGAUGGAGUCCAAUUAAUAGGAACUCUAAACGGAUAUCUUUCUAGAUUACUGAGUUCAGAACGGCAUCGGCUUUCUGUUGAUCCCUCACUAGUACAAUGUGAGGUAUCGAAAUCACUGUCUCUCCUAGGCAUAGUAAGUGCAAUCCGCGCACCACAACCUAUACGUAACGAAAUGGUAAUUUCUUGAUUAUUUAUAUCCCACAAUGAUAGGUAGGUUUCUAUAUGCAGAUGUAUCUAUCCAACAAAAUCUAAUCUAACCUAACUUAACUUGGGGCCACACUAACACUGUAGUUUUUUUUUAAAAAAAAACAACUUUAAAACCAAAUGUUCUGACCUUUAAAACCAAAUGCUUUGAUACCACUCGAAUUGUCAUGACCUGGUACUCCCCUCGAGCCCGUGACAACAGUCGCGAGGUCCCGGUAGACAUUCGUUACCCGGAGUGCUAACCGAAACCCCGCAAGGCUUUAGUGCCAUUUUUCUCAUCUCCCCUGUGAGUAAUCAUUGCCAAACCUCGUUUUUCAAGAAUUUUAAGCUUUUUCCCCUUCAAAAUCGUGAAAAAAUAAUUUUUGCCUCACAACGGCGUUUUCAUCAUUUUUCCUCGAAAUUUUUUCGAACCCAACUAAAAAUGUAGUAGAUGACUGGAAAACACAUAUUUCAUGAUUAAAAUAAAUUUGGGUGUUUAAAACAUUUAUUAAAAAUGAUAUUGCAACUAUUUGAAUAAAAUAAAAAUAUUCAAUAAAAUAUUCUAAUUUCUUGUAAAACAAUAUUUAUAGAGUCAUCGGUAAAUAAUUUUUGUAAUGUAAAAGCUAAAUAAAUUCAUACGUACUAUAAUACAGAUAACUUGGUUAUGAAAUUUACUUUACAGUGACUCGUGGGCCCACAAGGAACAAAAGUGCAUAAAGGCAGUAAACUUACAGUUUUUAGAGUAGUAAAGCUGACUAUAAUCCCUGACGAUAUCUACUAUCCACAAGCUACCUUGGGCCUGAAAUGGUUGAAAAGAAGGGUGGUGAGAUUAUAAAAUCUCAGUGAGUAAACAGAUACCAUCUAAACCAUCUAAAGUCGAGUAAAUUGAGACAAUUAAAAUAAGUCAUCAUAUUGUAAUUUCAUUACCUUUCAACUCAUUUCAACCAAAUAAAAUCAAUUCAUAUAAAUCGUGUAAUCAACAUGGCUUAUGAAUUUCUUAAAACUUUGGCUUGUGCCAAAACUCGUACUCGGUGAUACCUUGUGUCGAGCAUCCAACCGAGUCUGUCAAGGCUGUUAAAAAGUUAUGUACGCAUAAUUAUAUUUUUAUUUAGAAAACAUAGCCGUUCCUUGGCGUUGGCUGAGUUCUCCCUCACGUGGUGGUUUAACGUGAAGUGAACCCUAAACUUUACCCCAUGAGAUACCCUAUGCGCCUCUCCGAUCGAGGUAAGAAUAUGAUGGGGUUUACCGUGCCCCUCUAAAAGGUUGGUCCACAGAAACCCCUUACUGCAGUAACUAAUUAAUAUAUAAUCCACCAAUUCAAUAAAAUUUGUAAUAGCAUGACAUGGCAAUUAUUUUAUUUUGCAGCCUCUCAAGGCAAAUCAACAAUUCAUACAUUUUCAACACAUUUGCCAAUUCAACCAUUCAUGCCAAUAUUAUCAUAAGCCAUUCAAUUAGAAACAUAAUUUCACAAUACAUCAAAUGGUCUCCAAUUACUCUAUUUUCAAAGCCAUCAUUCAAUUUCUAGAUAAUUUUAUAAAAUCAUUUCAUUUAAUCACAUUUUUGUUUAUAAAACAUAAAGAUUUAUCAUUUAACCUCAUUUUCCAUAGAAUCACAAAAUCGGAUAAAAACCACUUUAGAUAAU